Molecule: ribosomal RNA, 650 nt
Filed under: Acanthamoeba sp. CRIB55
Lineage: Eukaryota; Discosea; Longamoebia; Acanthamoebidae
Description: SSU rRNA
Rfam family: Eukaryotic small subunit ribosomal RNA
Source: RNAcentral
UGCGGGCUCGGUCCGUCGGUGCCCACAAAAGCAUCGGCGUGUCAACCGGCCCGCCCGUCCCCUCCUUCUGGAUUCCCGUUCCUGCUAUUGAGUUAGUGGGGACGUCACAGGGGGCCCAUCGUCGUCAUGCAAAUGGCGGCGGUGGGUCCCUGGGGCCCAGAUCGUUUACCGUGAAAAAAUUAGAGUGUUCAAAGCAGGCAGAUCCAAUUUUCUGCCACCGAAUACAUUAGCAUGGGAUAAUGGAAUAGGACCCUGUCCUCCUAUUUUCAGUUGGUUUUGGCAGCGCGAGGACUAGGGUAAUGAUUAAUAGGGAUAGUUGGGGGCAUUAAUAUUUAAUUGUCAGAGGUGAAAUUCUUGGAUUUAUGAAAGAUUAACUUCUGCGAAAGCAUCUGCCAAGGAUGUUUUCAUUAAUCAAGAACGAAAGUUAGGGGAUCGAAGACGAUCAGAUACCGUCGUAGUCUUAACCAUAAACGAUGCCGACCAGCGAUUAGGAGACGUUGAAUACAAAACACCACCAUCGGCGCGGUCGUCCUUGGCGCCGUCCCGUUUCGGCGGGGCGGUUGCGGGGGCGGCUUAGCCCGGUGGCACCGGUGAAUGACUCCCCUAGCAGCUUGUGAGAAAUCAUAAGUCUUUGGGUUCCGGGGGGAGUA